Molecule: ribosomal RNA, 268 nt
Filed under: uncultured bacterium
Lineage: Bacteria
Description: partial 16S ribosomal RNA
Rfam family: Bacterial small subunit ribosomal RNA
Source: RNAcentral
GUCCACGCCCUAAACGAUGUCAACUAGGUGUUGGAAGGGUUAAACCUUUUAGUGCCGUAGCUAACGCGUGAAGUUGACCGCCUGGGGAGUACGGCCGCAAGGCUAAAACUCAAAGGAAUUGACGGGGACCCGGCACAAGCGGUGGAUGAUGUGGAUUAAUUCGAUGCAACGCGAAAAACCUUAACCUACCCUUGACAUGUCAGGAAUCCCGGAGAGAUUUGGGAGUGCUCGAAAGAGAACCUGAACACAGGUGCUGCAUGGCUGUCGU